RNAcentral lists this small RNA (435 nucleotides) under Arabidopsis thaliana (thale cress). Its description in RNAcentral is "ATSL213190". Lineage: Eukaryota; Viridiplantae; Streptophyta; Magnoliopsida; Brassicales; Brassicaceae. The record is from RNAcentral.
UUUCAAUAAAAUUAUUUUAUCGGUUUUCUCAUACUCGAAGAUGUUUUUCUGUAAUCUUAACUCAAAUAAUGAGUGUAUAGUAGUCAUGAAUUAUUUAAUAGUUUGAAUAGUUUGCAGAUUUUUAUAUAUACUAGAUUUUAACCCACGGUAUACUGCGGAGACAAUUUAUUUUUUUUAAAAGUUAGUAUAUAUAAAAGUUUGCAAAUUGUAUCUAUCUAUAAAAUAUUUUUAUUUUAUAGUUUACAAUUGUUAUUAAAUAACGUCCCGCCAAUCCGUCCCGUAAAAAAACCUAUUUAUUUUGUUAAUGUUGAUCUUAUUUAUGAUAUGUUUAUGAAUCAUUGUUUAAAUAUUUUGUAAUUUUGUAGUAAUUAACUGUUAUCAAAUAUUUCUACGGUUUGAUGCUUAUAAUCGAAUUGUUAUAGUCAUGAAAAAAAC